This 506-nucleotide ribosomal RNA is filed under the name uncultured bacterium. RNAcentral describes it as "partial 16S ribosomal RNA". It matches the Rfam family "Bacterial small subunit ribosomal RNA", at positions 29 to 523 of the family's 1533-position model. The record is from RNAcentral.
AGUGAACGCUGGCGGUAGGCCUAACACAUGCAAGUCGAACGGCAGCACAGGAGAGCUUGCUCUCUGGGUGGCGAGUGGCGGACGGGUGAGGAAUACAUCGGAAUCUACUCUGUCGUGGGGGAUAACGUAGGGAAACUUACGCUAAUACCGCAUACGACCUACGGGUGAAAGCAGGGGACCUUCGGGCCUUGCGCGAUUGAAUGAGCCGAUGUCGGAUUAGCUAGUUGGCGGGGUAAAGGCCCACCAAGGCGACGAUCCGUAGCUGGUCUGCGAGGAUGAGCAGCCACACUGGAACUAGGACACGGUCCAGACUCCUACGGGAGGAAGCAGGAGGGAAUAUUGGAAAAUGGGCGCAAGCCUGAUCCAGCCAUACCGGGUGGGUGAAGAAGGCCUUCGGGUUGUAAAGCCCUUUUGUUGGGAAAGAAAUCCAGCUGGCUAAUACCCGGUUGGGAUGACGGUACCCAAAGAAUAAGCACCGGCUAACUUCGUGCCAGCCGCCGCCGUAA